RNAcentral lists this ribosomal RNA (816 nucleotides) under uncultured Polaribacter sp. RNAcentral's name for it is "bacterial SSU rRNA". It matches the Rfam family "Bacterial small subunit ribosomal RNA", at positions 55 to 873 of the family's 1533-position model. The record is from RNAcentral. Lineage: Bacteria; Pseudomonadati; Bacteroidota; Flavobacteriia; Flavobacteriales; Flavobacteriaceae.
AUGCAAGUCGAGGGUAACAUUGUGCUUGCACAGAUGACGACCGGCGCACGGGUGCGUAACGCGUAUAGAACCUACCUUUUACAGAGGAAUAGCCUUUAGAAAUGAAGAUUAAUGCCUCAUGGUAUUGUAGACUGGCAUCAGUUUAUAAUUAAAGAUUUAUCGGUAAAAGAUGGCUAUGCGUCCUAUUAGUUAGUUGGUAAGGUAACGGCUUACCAAGACAGCGAUAGGUAGGGGUCCUGAGAGGGAGAUCCCCCACACUGGUACUGAGACACGGACCAGACUCCUACGGGAGGCAGCAGUGAGGAAUAUUGGACAAUGGAGGAGACUCGGAUCCAGCCAUGCCGCGUGUAGGAAGAAUGCCCUAUGGGUUGUAAACUACUUUUAUACAGGAAGAAACACUGGUAUGUAUACCAGCUUGACGGUACUGUAAGAAUAAGGACCGGCUAACUCCGUGCCAGCAGCCGCGGUAAUACGGAGGGUCCGAGCGUUAUCCGGAAUCAUUGGGUUUAAAGGGUCCGCAGGCGGUCGAUUAAGUCAGAGGUGAAAUCCCAUAGCUCAACUAUGGAACUGCCUUUGAUACUGGUUGACUUGAGUCAUAUGGAAGUAGAUAGAAUGUGUAGUGUAGCGGUGAAAUGCAUAGAUAUUACACAGAAUACCGAUUGCGAAGGCAGUCUACUACGUAUGUACUGACGCUGAGGGACGAAAGCGUGGGGAGCGAACAGGAUUAGAUACCCUGGUAGUCCACGCCGUAAACGAUGGAUACUAGUUGUUGGGAUUUAUCUCAGUGACUAAGCGAAAGUGAUAAGUUCCCACUGG